AAGUCGUAACAAGGUUUCCGUAGGUGAACCUGCGGAGGGAUCAUUACAGAGUGUAAAAACUCCCAAACCCACUGUGAACAUACCUCGCGUUGCCUCGGCGGGCCGCCCCGCGUCUCCGGACGGCGGGGUCCGCCGGCGGCCCACGAAACUCUUGUCGGUAUUUGGCAUCUCUGAACGCAAACUAAAAUCAGUUAAAACUUUCAACAACGGAUCUCUUGGUUCUG
Molecule: unclassified non-coding RNA, 224 nt
Filed under: fungal sp.
Lineage: Eukaryota; Fungi
Description: partial internal transcribed spacer region
Rfam family: Eukaryotic small subunit ribosomal RNA (bases 1-46)
Source: RNAcentral